ACAGAAGAUGCACUACGAACUGAUCGCAGGAUCCGAGAUUUGCACCCAAGCUCCCCAGAAUACCGUGAGAUAUCACUUCACUACGUCGGCGAUCGCAGCAUCUGAAGCGCAAGUGUCAUCCAUGAUCAAACAAACCUCAACAGCGAAAUGCAGAUCGACCUCGAGCGCUUGGCGGGGCGCUCCACCUGGUUGUUGCAGCCUCGUGUUGCCACCCAAGGAUAACUGGGACGAAUCUAAGGGAUUCUUGGUGCGUCGAUGGAAGCGAAUAAAGCGCUAGUGGUGGCAGAAAGAGCUCAGUGUGGUGGCGAUAUCGGAUGACAAGUCACGGCGAGCGAGAGAGAGCGUCUGUGUCGCUUCCGCUUGUCCAAGCUCGUCGUCGUCUUGUUGGCCUCGGACGGACCCAAGUCACGUCUCCAGUGGACGGUUGCAAGGAGACGUCUUCCUGAACUGCCAAUUGCGCGACUAGGCUCCGCUGAACAGAGCCUUCCAGAGAAAGACAGACUCCUGCCACGUAAGCGAGCAUGCUAGCCUCCUCAGGCGUCUAUUCGAUGAUAUCGAUCUGUAAGCACUUUGUGCCAUCCCAGGCCAGAGUCGAGCACCGAGACUCUGCCUCGCUGCUCAGCGUAGACGAAGCGGAGCACCACGUGGUGAGCGAAGAUUCCACGUCUAUGAGCAUCGUAACCGCCGUCGUGCCCCUGACUCAAGAGAAUGGAGCCAAAAAAACUAAGCAGAAACCAGAUGAAGCUGCUGAAGAUUGCGCGGGCCUUUUCGUAUCUCGGGUCGGGAGCAGGAACGCAAGCAGGCGCAUCCGCAAGUGGAACGACGGCACCUGGACCCUUUUCAACGCGCUGAUCAUCGUAUCGAGCUGACAGAGUGCGUCCAAAGCUUCAUUCAGAGCAAAUAGGAGCGCCUAAUCCCUCAUGUGGACGACUUUUCGCAGGAAUGCAUGCGCUCGCGCUGAGGUCACCAACGGUUUCGGGUGUACAAUGAUCAAAAGUGGGCAUUCGCUGACUUGCUGGAUUCGUCGGAACAUAAAAUGACCGGGCAUCCGAGCGGUUUCGUAGUACCCCAAGGAGCCGGACGUGCUGUAACGCGCGCAGACCGCGCUCUCGCUCCUUUGGCUAGAGCGUAGAACGAGUUCAGGAAUCGAUUCUGCACGAUUCCAGCGGAUGCAUUCAAGUCGGUGUGCACGAAGAAUGAGCUCGGGUGAACGCUUUAACAUCCAGAGACGAAGGGCAUGAGGCGAAGACGGACGCAUGCGGUGCUGUAUUGUAAGAGACUGAACGUCAGAUGGCGAUGAAUUCGAAGGUAAGCGAAUGCCCAUGGGGUACUUCCACUAGCAACGAUACGAGCUGGCGCUUUCCCCACUGCGACUUCAACGUUUCAAUCAAGAAGCGGAGAUGCUUCGUGCUUCCGGAGCGCCCCAGUGGCUCUGUGUCGGCGAAGUUUCGACGAACUUGUUUCGUACUCAGAAUAGGCAUUGUGCUGGAAUGCUGACGACUUGCGGUGCAGAGUAUCUGUGACCAGGAGCUCGAGCAUUGGAUUUUCGCCUGGAUUACGCUAUUUGUUCGGUGCGGAUGGCAAACUAUAAAGGCUGGAGCGCCCUCUGGACACAUAUUGGGAACGAUUUCGGUGCACAGUCUGCGAGCAAUAAGGGUGUUCCAUUGUUUGAGAAACCUGCGUACACAGUUCGGAAAGAAUUCAAGCUUGUCGCGUUGUUUAGAACCCUGCUCAACGACUUGCCGAAAAUGGAGUACCUCUGCAGGCCUGCAGUAGCUGCCUUCUAGAUACGAAUGGUAUGGGUGCCUCGGAGUCUCCGAAAAAGGGCCUCAAACUGCCAGCCGCGUCGCUGUUUUCGCUAUGGGACGUACGAGUGGGACACUCUCACCGCUUCUUUCGCCUCAAUUCAUUUUGAUGUCGCAAGGCAUCUGAGGACACAUCGCACGCCGAAAUCGCUACGCGCGGAUAACAGAUACAUCGUCACGCUGCAAUCCUGGAGAAAACAUAUUGAUCAAAUUCUUUCUGAAUGAUGGCUCACGACACAUCUGCAGCAGCGUCUAGUCAUGGGCCCGUAACCAACCAUGAGCCUGUACAUGGCUAUCGUCCAUGGCUGCGCACCCUAGCUGGUGGCGUCCAGGGUCUAUAAGUCUCAGCGAUCGCUCCUGAGCCGCCGCUAGCGCCAUAUUCCGCAGCGAGGCUCAUUUCGCUGCAUAGAGACGAUUCCGAAGCUAAGUGCGCCAAACUAAAUGCCCCUACAUGCAAAGUAGUUACGACGAAAAAGAAUAUAUGCACAGAACGGCUGAACCAUUCCUGCUUCCGAGUUCGCGCAGUAUCUUUGCGUGGGAAUCGACUCGCUGCCGCAAGGGCAAGGGUUUCCCGUCGUUUGAGGCAAAAGACAAAGUCCAGAGAACGUUCUGGACUAGAUAUGUAGAGAUUUACUCCGUGCACACAAGGAGGCGGAACAAAAUCUGCGGAGACCAGGCACGAGAGCCAAUGUGCUCUCGAAUAUGCGUCCAUAGAAGAAUCUGAGCUUCCAGUGAUCAUGCAGCGAUCAUGUGUCACAAAAAAUUCAUUGAAACACGGGCACCGCUGUAUUCGAUUUGCAAUGCUCUCGGGGUACCUGGUAAGCCUGGAGAAGUCGAACGUAGCGAGGUUCCCUCAGAGAACAUAGAGACAUCUUCGAGCAUACUGUGGCUCCUUUAAAGAGUGCAGCUAC
Molecule: unclassified non-coding RNA, 2716 nt
Filed under: Cyanidioschyzon merolae strain 10D
Lineage: Eukaryota; Rhodophyta; Bangiophyceae; Cyanidiales; Cyanidiaceae
Description: hypothetical transcript
Source: RNAcentral